This is a regulatory RNA element of 121 nucleotides. It matches the Rfam family "Molybdenum/Tungsten riboswitch aptamer (Moco RNA motif)". The record is from Rfam.
AAAUUGUCGGCUCUCCGAGCCGCCGUACCCACCAGGGCAACCCUCUCACGGUGCGCGGCCAACGGGUGCUGCCGGAAACGGCUGCGCCUUCCUUUUGAAAAGGAGAACACCCUCCGUCAGA